ACCGGACCCGUAGUUCAAUGGAUAGAAUAAAAGAUUCCGGUUCUUUAGAUAGGCGUUCGAAUCGCCUCGGGGGUA
This 75-nucleotide transfer RNA is filed under the name Paludibacteraceae bacterium. RNAcentral's name for it is "tRNA-Arg". It matches the Rfam family "tRNA". From Rfam's summary of the family: Transfer RNA (tRNA) molecules are approximately 80 nucleotides in length. Their secondary structure includes four short double-helical elements and three loops (D, anti-codon, and T loops). Lineage: Bacteria; Pseudomonadati; Bacteroidota; Bacteroidia; Bacteroidales; Paludibacteraceae. The record is from RNAcentral.